CGUGUCUGGAGGUUGCGGGAAGGAGACUGUGUCUCCCUUUGGGAAAACUACUGAGGACUUCUUUAUAUCCUACUUCUCCUGGACUCCAUAAGUUACAGGACCGAAGGAAACUGAGAAAUAGAGAAAAGGUGCCUCUUGCCCCUUUAACUCCACAAAAGGGUGGCUGCAGAUGGAGCAGCUUGGACUUUAUUUUUACAUUGCGCGAAGCCCGCGGGCAGCGGCUUAUGCUAAUUGAUUUUCCCAGCUCUCAGCCCUGGGUAUCUAGCUAUCUCCAGGACAGUUUGCUUUUUUCUUUUUCUGUCUUUCUUUCUUUCCUUCAAUGUAUCAGAAGACCUGAAGCUCGCUGCCCGCGAGUUUCCUCCGAGUUCCCAGACAGAGUCUUGCUCUAUUGCCCAGGCUGCAACUGGCGUGAUCUUGGCUCACUACAACCUCUGCCUCCUGGGUUCAAGCGAUUCUCCUGCCUCAGCCUCCCAAGUAGCUGGGAUUAUAAGCAUGCACCACCAAGCCUGGCUAAUUUUUGUAUUUUUAGUGGAAACGGGGUUUUGCCAUGUUGGCCAUGGUGAUCUUGAACUCCUGACCUCAAGUGAUCCACCUGCCUUGGCCUCCCAAAGUGCUGGGAUUACAAGCAUGAGCCACCGCACCCAGUCUUACACUGAACUUUCAAUGGGUUCAAUUCCACUAGGAGCAUAAAGGCCACUGCAUAUGAGUUGUGGAAAGAAGAGAUUACAGGAAGAAGGAAGAACUUGAGAUGGGUUCCUCCCUUCAACAUUCUGUCUCCUCCUACCUAGCAUCUUCUUCCUUUUAGUCUUUCUAGAAUGUCCAUCUGUUUUUGGCCAUUGCAGAAAGAGAAGCUGAGCUUUAAAGUUGCUGAGACAAAGGAAAACCCACUCCCUUGGAGGAGCAUGACCUUUUCCUGUAUUGCUUCCACUGCUGUUGUUGAGCUCCUUGGACCAUGGCUCCUGGACACCAUCAUCAAGAAGACUUUAUGGAUGGGCUAUCCACCCACUGAGAGAAGAGGAGCAUCAGCUAUGGUUUCUCUCUAGAUUGCCUUCUUCAUUUUGAGUAAUGACUGUCAGCAGGGUCAGAUUAAAGACAAAACAACCGGACAGUUGCUUGGAGGACUAAACUAUAAGGGCACUAACAUGUCAGUAGUAUGCUAACACAUCCAUAGAAAAUAUAUUUACCAGCCCUUCUCUCAGGGAGGAUUCUGUGUGGGUUCAGAAGGAAUGGUUUGUUAAACUCCUUAGGGGUAGAAAGUAGGGCAUAAUCAGAAUAUAGAGGAAUAUGCUGUUUGACUUCAGGGUUUCUGUUUUUCUUACUAGGAUAUAUAAAACAGGGACUCUGGCUAGAUUGUUUAUGACCACAGAGGGUUGGCUGAGCGCUCCCAUGAUCUUCCUGCUUGGUUCUUGCCCAUACAGACCUCAGCCUUUCCUCUAAUAAAGAUUGAACAAGCAGUGGUCUGAGGGAGACACCAAUUCAUUACCUUACAUGUCUCUUCUCUGCACUAUAGGGCUUUGUUAAUAAAGACACUGGCAGACUAUCUAUCUUCCAUUUCUAUAAUGUGAGCCCUUAGGGAGUCUUCAUUCACUUGAGGGUGAGGGUCAUUGCUCACAGAGUAGUUCAAGUCAAAUGGAACUUGAACUCUUUGCUUAUAGGCCUGGUGGUCAGACUCUAUGUUGAGUUCAUUAGAUUAUUGGAGACACAAGGUAGAGCUGGACCCUUCAAAAAUAUUUGGCUAAAGGAUGACAUUGGUAGUUAUUUGUAGAUAAAGCCAUGAUGGCCCAUGCUUGGAAUCAUGAAAUAUGGAACUGGUGGUCAUGUUUAAAGAUACAACUAAUAGUUAAGUACCUACUGGACACUGUAGAGACUUAGGGGCAAGACAGACAUGGUUCCUGCCCCCUGGAGCUUACACUGCAGCUUUCCCUUAGGUAUGAAGAACAGUGGCUACAACUAACAAAUGGCCACAAAGAUAUCAUCGAGCCAGUGUUCCAAUUAUUAGGGUAAUUCCUAAUUUCCUUAAUCAUGCCUAUUGGCCAUGUUCUAUAAGCCUGCAUUCUAUAAAUGGCCUAUGAGCAUGGGCUGUUUCACCCCUGCAAGUUGUACAAAGUUCUGUGGUACCAGGGAAAGGGCUUAAGGUUAGCAGGGCCUCUGGGGAAGGACAUAUGAAGUGACUUGGGUUAGGAAACAGGAAAGGAUAGGAUUCAAGAACAGCUAUUGCUUCUGUUCUAUAUAGGAAACUGCAGCGUGAAAAAUGCUGGGCUGGGAAUUUUGAGACCCGGGUUUCAGUUUGUGUUCUAAUACUAACAAGCUAUGUGACUGUGGGUAAGUCAUUUCACAUUCCACUUGGAUGCCUCUUGAGUGACUCCAGGCCUCUCCAGCUCUAAAACAUUAAGAUCAGACCCUACGCUACAGCUGGCCAGUGUGUAAUUCUCCUGUUUCUAUGCUGUUAGGUCAAAUAGAUCUUCAAUAGUUACUUGAUUGUUAUUACUUUUUUCUGAAGUGGGUGUUUUAUCAAUGUUUUAGGAUACAGUGAGUCUGCUUCUCCCCUUUGGAGUUAGGAAGGUUGUAGGAAUAUACACUGUAGAGCAUAUGGAAGCUUUAUUCGCUCCUUUUAUCCCCCCUACCUUUCUCCCUCUCGUUCCCUUCCUCACAUUUCUAUUGAGCAUAUGCCAUUGCUGUGUACCAGGUGUGUGCUAGGUUUGGAGAUACAAGGUAAAUCUGAGACUUUCCCAUACUCCAGGAGACAAAACCCUUCAUUUCUUUCAUCUGCUGGCUUUCUCUUUGGAAAGAAUCAACGAUAUCCCAGGGGAGUGUGCCCAUGUCCCAGGAUAACCAACUACAUACAGAUGCCGCAUUCUACUCAAGCAACUUUUAGAGUGCCUUGAGAUACACAUCAGAUAAUUAUGCAGGGCCGGGCAUGGUGCUGCACACUUGUAGUCACAGCACUUUGGGAGGCCAAGGCGGCAGAUUGCUUGAGCCCAGGAAUUCAAGCCUAGCCUUGGGAAUAUGGCAAAACCCCAGCUCUACAAAAAAAUACAAAAAUUAGCUGCAUGUGGUGGCCCAUGACUGUAGUACAAGCUACUCAGGAGGCUGAGGUGGGAGGAUUGCUUGAGCCUGUGAGGUCGAGGCUGCAGUGAGCCGAGAUCGUGCCAUUGCACUCCAGCCUGGGUGACAUAGGGAGACCCUGUCUUGAAAAAAAAAGAAAGAAAGAAAGAUAAUCAUUGAGUCCUAGAGUCAUUGUGAAAAGAUCUAUCUUCAGAUAUAAGGAAGAAACAAUCUUUUAUUUCUUAGGAUAAAUCUGUAGAAGGACCUCCAGACAGUGAAGGCCACUGACUACUUUAUACUCUGUAACCCAUCCCUUCCCUGGGAAGUAGGAAGGACUACUUUCUAAAAUUACAAAGUACCUCUCAGCAAAUAGAUGUUUUCAUAUAUACUGUGAUUCAUACUUCCCUAUGGCUGGUGACCUCUUUAGAAAGGAAAGGAAAAAGCCUAAUCAGACAAAAAGAUGUUGCUAUUAAUUACCCUAUUGUGAAUCCUAUAUAAGCAAAUUUGUAUCUUUGUUUUUUCCAACAUUAGCAGAUCUAUUUGAUGUAUAUCUCUGAGUGCAGAAAAUAUUUUAUGGAAAAAUCAAUAUAUGGAAUUUCAAAUUCAGCAUUGCUGAUACACACUAUUUGGUUUCAGAAUUUUAUCAUAGGAAAUAGUAUUAGGGAUUUCAAUUUCUGGCUUAAGUGGUAGAAUUAAUUACUCUUAACUCUUAAUUUUACUUCUGAGUUGAGGUCAAGGAACAGGCAGACACCUCCAGUUAACGUCUAUACCUCUCCAUGGCCAAGAGCUUUAAUUUUCUCAUCUUCAGUUUUGUAGAUGUACAUCAUUACUAAAUGGAUUGAUUAGUAUUUUAUCUCCUCUCCAUGUCCUUACUUUCCCUCUGGUAAAUAUGUUAUAAACAGUGUAAGGCUCCUAAGAUAGAAUGGCUGGUAGGACUUAGAAGAGAAACAAAGGGCAUUGAUAACUCACAUAAAUGGAAAAUUGGCUCUGGAAUAAUUGACAACAUAUUCAAGUAUUUUAGUGCAGUGUCACUCUCAUUGAGAAGAAGAGAACAGUAAAUCUAUGUGACUGUAAACAUUCUAAUGAAAAGAGGAAUAUUCUGUCAAUUAUCUCACAUUUCUAAAUAUCUGGAUAUUGGCCAUCGUAAAGACAAAACAUACAGAUGAUGGAGUUGUCUUUCCACGUCUCAUUUGCAUGGUUUGGAACAUUGUACCUCCAGCCAUUGACUCUAAGGCAAUUUAUAUUUGCUUCCUCUUCCCUCUUGAGAGAAAACAAAAAUCUUAUUUUUCCAAGCAAUUAAAACUCUUCUGCUUCAGCUAGGAUGAAAGAAUUAGGAGUUCUGUCUCCUUGUAUCUAAUUGCAUGUUUCAUCUUUCUUGUUUUAAUGAUUGACAGAAAACUAAUAAACUGAGACAUCUUUGAAUCCAGGUUGAAUGUACUCUCUUGGUGGCCCCAUUGCUAAUUUGUUUGACUAUUUUGCAGGAUUUCUUACUCUGUAAUGGAAAGGUUUAUUAAAUAUGAGGGGUGCAAAGCUUUCUGAAUACUAAUGAACUUAUUUGCCAAAAUUUAAAUGUUCUUCUUGUCAGUGAAUGUCUGUCUCUCUUAACAGGAUCCAAAUUGAAUAAUGAAGAAAAUUAGACUCUAUUGUACCCUCAGGAGAAAUCCUGGUGAAUCGUAAUAGAAUACAGAGGGGGAAAGGGGUCACAUUUUAGAAAAAAAGAGUAGAUAAUUUGGAUUAUUAAAAAAGGGAUUAACUCAGGAAAACUCUAUUCUUUUCAAAGAAACGUACUCAUAGUCAUUCAAUGAGCAGGAUUUCCCACUGCACAAGCAUCUAUACCUUCGGCCAGUGUAGAAUGAGAGUAAGGUCAUAAUCAUAUGGAGAUGCAUGCUAGGUUUCAGUGGUUACAAUUCACUAACCUCAUUCCCAUAUAAGGCCUUUAUAUGCCUGUAAUGGUAUGGGAAAAUCAAUAAGCUUUGAAAAGGAACACUAUUCUUCACAGAAGUUCAAUGGGACAUAGUUGAGUUGGGGAAAUUGCCCCAGUUCUUCCUUUAAGCAUGAAAUGAGGCUGUCCCUAUGUAAGUUUAUUUCCAUUGCCUUGGUGUUAUCACUGAUAAAGUCAAUGAUCAUGAUGCCUUUGCCUUGGCAGCACCUGGGGGGGUACUGAAGGAACCACAUAGCUGUACUCGUGGCCAGAAAGGCAGGCUGCCAGAACUUCAGCAGCCACACAAGUGGCCAAACAUGGUCAGGAACGAAAGUAGUGUGUGUAUGGAGUGAAAUGAAAUGAUGCGAGGAAAGUGAAGGAUGAUAUAAAGGUGGGGCUGUCCAAAGAUGGGCGUUCAUUCCUGUCCUGCACUUGAAAUAGGAAGGAAAGGACUGGAAAAGGAUUAGGUGAGGAAGGAUCCUGAAGUAGAGAAAACAAAGGGAAGACUGCAUGCCUGCAGUGUUUGCUAAAAUUAAUUUGCCUGAGAUUUCAGGAGGAGGAAAGAAAGAUCAAGAGAAAGGGAAAACAGCCUCAAAGCCUGUGAAGGUUGAAAAACAAAAUAUAAACAAAAAUAUUUAAAGCUAAAAUUAUGCUCUUCUAAGAAAAGAGGCUGGACACUAGCAGAAAGCUUGAUGACAGCAAGAUUUGUAUUUAGAGGUUUAUUUAGAUCCCUAAGAAAAAAGGCUUAUGUGACAUAGAUUCAUAAGACACAAAUAUGUCCUUGGCUGACCAUGAUACUAGGCUUCACUCCCAAAGGAAAAAAAGAAUGGUCGGUGCAUCUCAGAUUAACACCAACCAACUCUGCAAUAUUUCAUUUGAGAAAGCGUUUCCUUGUAUUAUCCAUGAUUACAUAAAAAGAGAUUUUAUUUUUUUUUUUGUAUUUGAUUGCUUCUGUGGCAAGGCUUGAGAAUUACAAACCUAGGUUUCCCUCUGGGAAUGAUCAUUGGAUUUUUAAAAUUAAGUAAAUGGAAGGAGAUUAAGAUUUAUUUCCAUUAUUUCAAACCAUAAUCUGCACCUUUGGAAACAACGAGGAAGUUGGAAAGUGGGAAGGUGAGGUAGGUGUGCAAGAAUGGGGAGAAAGAUGCUGCAAGCCAAAUAAGACUGUACAAUUUCUGAGAAAAUUAAAUGAACAAUAGAGUUUGAAGGAUAAGUGGGUAAUGAGGAAUAUGAGAUAAGAAGAUAUUUAAAAAUAGCAAAUUACUUGGGAAAGUGAGGAUGAGUGAUGGUAGAUGGUUAAGGGAUUUGGGAUGGCACGGAAGGGAAGAGAUGACUGGGGUGGGAAGAAAAACAUGAUUAAAGGCUGUAAAAGGGCGAGUUUGGACUCUCGAUGGCAUAUCUUCCCAAACUUUGGAGAAUGUGCAGAACUUAGUAAUAAAGAAGGAAAAGAUUAAAAAAUUUCAUGGUUAACAUGAAAUUGUGAGGACAACAGAGGAAGCAAUAAGUGUCAUUAGUCCUCAGGAAUGAAAGCAUUUCUAGAGAAAUGUACUAGUCUACAUUCUUCAUUUAUGAGCAGAAUAGUUUUCAUCUACUUUUUAUUAAAAGGUUAAUGUAUAAAAUGAAUGCUAUUAAAGGAAAGAAAAGCUAAGCAUUAUCAGGAAAGUUGAAGAAAAGAUUGCACCUAGAACAACUGAAGUAAGCCAGCAAACUGUUUUACAGCCUUUUCUAUAAAAUUUUGAAAUUCGUCAUCUUAAUGAAAGAACUGGAAAUAGUUUUUCCAAAUAGAAAUGGGUAAUGAUAAGGGAGGAAGUUUUAACAGUUAGAAAUAUUUUAGAAUGCAUUCUUUUACAUUUUUUCCCCAUAAAAACGAGAGGAAGCUAAAAAACUUAUGGGUAUUGCUUUAAACACUUUGGAUAAGAAGAUUUAUAGCAACAUAAGGUUAUUGUUAGUAGUAGAAAUAACAUUAAUUUUUUAAAAAAUAUUAGUAUUUGGAGCAGGACUAAAUACCGGUGAUCAUCCUUUUUGGUUUCUUGUGUUUGUGUAGGAGAUUCCAUUCAGACAGACAGUACCAGACCUCCUUUGGAGGGAAGCUGAUAAAGUAAUUAGGUGGAAAGGUUUAAUGAGAUAAUGAUGCUAAGGCCAGUUAACAUCUAAUAAGAACAUAACCACGAGGGAUGAUAUUGUUGCUUAUUAAUUAUAAUGAUGCUGAGGAAAGAGACAAGGUGGCACUCAUUUAGCAGAGAGUACUCAGGAGUAAGAUCGUUUUCCCAAAGGGGAAGUGUUGCAGUCAGAGUUAGAAGUAGGUCAACAUUUAGCAGAGUUUGAAAUUUAUGGCCAUUGGGUUAUACUAGCAACCACAGAACUGAAGGCCAGGCAGGAGGUAACAGAUGCCUUUCUGAUGGUGGCCAGGGAUGGAGUGGAGACUGUUGUGGUUGCUGGGCCAUGCACGGAGGCAGACUCCAGACUGAGUUUUGGGAGCUGUCUGCUUGCCUUAGAUUCCACAGUGGUCAUUCGUGGGCAGACAGGCAGGUGUCCAGAACUGGACUGGAUGUGCUUCCAGUUCUGUGACCUUCCCCUCCACUCCACUGGGUCGAGUGAGUCAGACCCAAGGAUAGCUAUUCCAUCAGUGUUGGCGCCCAGCUUUGUUGAGGGAGCUCAGAAGAUCCUUUGGUCCUGUUUUUAGAGGCGCAGACCUAGCUGUUAUCAGUUGAAUUGCAUUUAUGAUUCCUUGGUGUUAGUCACUAACCACAUUCCGCUUCCUGAAUUCAUUGUGGGUCUGGUCACCUCCAUGUUUGCCUAGGAUGGCAGAAUUGUAGUAUAAAUUUAUUGCAGAUACACUAAUGUCCAUAUUAGUCAGGUGGGCAGGAACAAAGAAUUCGAGGAAGAAACAGCCAUGUGAAAAAAACAUGGAGCUUUUGGAAAUCUUGUGACCCCUCAAGGGAGGCAUAGAAGCUUGAAACAGAGGACUAGCCUUGGGAAGUUAAUUUGGGGCUGGGUAAGAAAUAUAAAAACUCUACUCCUUAUUCAGCACCUUUUCCCAAUAUGGGUCUCUCUCUGAGUCCUGGAUCCUAAGCUAUUGCUGACUCCUUUCUUGUGUCUUUGGAUGCCACCUCUGCAAUAAUAGGGAGGGGUUUUCUAUACCUUCUUGUGUAGUUAAUUUUAUUAACUGGAUGAGGAUCACCUCACAGGAUUUUUCUUGUCCUGUAUAAUGAUGUCACUGACCCCUGAAUUAGAAAGGAAAUAAUAUUCCCAUCAUUAGCUUUUUAAAGCAAGUGUAUUUUAUUUUAUUAAAGGUGUGGUUUUAGAGAGGCAAGAAGUGACAAGAAGACGCUAGACUAGAAGAUGGAAGAUACAGCUCUAGUCCUGACUCAUGCCUAUCAGCUCUGUCACCUUGGACAAGUCUCAUGCCUUUCAGAGCCUCAGUUUCUGCAUUCAUAAAAUGAGGGCUUAUUGAAGAUAAUCUGUGAUGGACAUCACCUUUAAGACAUUGAAAGUUCUGAAAGAUUGAUUGAAAACUCCUUUCUUCCAGGUAAGUAGGUUAUUCUCUAAGGAAUGGGCAUUCAUAUUCAGGUCAUAAGGGCAUGAUUAUACUCUAAUAACUGAUCUCCAGGGUUAAAAAAAGAACCCAUGUCCCUUCCAAUAUGCCUGAGAUAUAAGAUAAUCUACCAUUUGACAAGAUAAAGCUCAUCAAUUUCAUCAUCAGUAAAAAGAGGGCAUAACUGGGAUGUCACUAACUGCUAUUGUUAAAAUGAGCAAGUAUUAAAAUCCUUAUGGAUGUCCUCUUCAUAUUCAACAUUAAUUAGAAACCUGCCCUAUCUCAGUGUUCUUCCAUAAUCAAUCCCCCUUUCCAGUAUUACUAAGGUAACUGUAAGCCCUGCAUGCCUGAACUGUCCUGGUUUACACCUGUUGUUCCAGCAUAAAUGUUAAUUGCAACCCUGUUCACUAUCUGAUGAAUCUUGCUUUGGACGAUAAAUUAUAUGGUCAACCUAAGUAUUAGAGUCCCUGGGAUAAACAAUCAAGGUACCAUUCUUAUUUAUUGGUAUUGGUUUGUCACAAGCUGUGAAAACAGUUUUUCUUUUGAUUGUUUCUUCCUGAGUUGUCACAAAGACCUUCACAUAAAAUCACUCUCUCCCAUUAAAGUAAUUAUUGAAACCCCCUUCAGUAAUGACAACUUGUUUUAGUUUUCCUCCUCAGAUUCCAAAGACCAAAUGUAGAGAUUGUUUUUGCUGGGUCAGGAUCAAAACUGUUCAGAGGCACUAGCCUUGUAUAGGGAGAAUUUCAUCUAUCUAAUCCACAAGAAUCUUGAAGAGACAUUUUUUCCUUGGUAACAUUAUCUUGUAGAAAGAGUCUGUGAUUGACUACUAAUUUUAGCCCAGAGAAUAGAAAACUCAAAUGUACUCAGUUUCAGUGUAACAUAUGUAUUUGUGGCCUAAGAUACUUAAUGUCUCUAAAGUUGCUACUAGGGAAUGAGUAAUUGAAAGGUGAGUUUGGGUGGCCUUCUUAGACAUAAUCUCUGUUAAAACUAUUUAAUCUCUAUGAUUCACAAGGAAAGCUUUUCUUGAGUUGAUGAGUAGAAUGACAUUUCUGAUAUGAUAUUUCUACAACUAUAUUCUUGGCUGAUGGUAGUAGCAGUACCACUAUUUUUUCAUUAUUUAAUUUUGGAAAAGUGACCACUAUUUUUUUCAUCUAAGGCUGUGUCCUUAUUGUACUGAAGCACCCAAUCAACUCAAUGUAAAAAAAAAGAGUCUUUUAAAUAAUGUGGAAUUAUGAAGACAAAACAACUAGUGAGGAAACUAAAUUGUUUUUAUCUAAUUAUUUUGUAACUUAUCUGUGAACUAUAGAUAAUUCUGCUGGUUUUUGCAUUCCUGAAACAGUUGCUGUGAGAAUAAAUAAUAUACUUGGUAAAACAUUGUGAAUGUUUGAGAUAAUAGAUGCACAAUGACUUCAUCCUUGUUUGUAGCUUGCUUGAAAAAUUAAAUUGAAUGAAACAGA
Symphalangus syndactylus (siamang) is the source of this 9955-nucleotide long non-coding RNA. RefSeq lists it as uncharacterized. NCBI's taxonomy places the organism in Eukaryota, Metazoa, Chordata, Mammalia, Primates, Hylobatidae. The record is from RefSeq and is a predicted model, not a curated record.